AUGAAUGCUGGCGGCGUGUCUAAGGCAUGCAAGUCGAACGGAUAUUACAAUGUAGCAAUACAAGGUAAUAUUAGUGGCAAACGGGAGCGUAACACAUUGGCAACUUUCCUUGUACUCAAGAAUAACCGCUGGAAACGGCGGCUAAUACUCGAUAUGGAUGGGGGGACAUAUGUCAUUCCCAUUGAAAGAUUUAUCGGUACAAGAUUGGCCUAUGGUCCAUCAGGUAGUUGGCGGGGUAACGGCCCACCAAGCCUAUGACGGAUACCAGGCGCGAGAGCGUGACCUGGCUCACUGGGACUGAGAACUGCCCAGACACCUACGGGUGGCUGCAGUCGAGAAUAUUCCGCAAUGCACGAAAGUGUGACGGAGCGACGCCGCGUGUCGAAUGAAGGCCUUCGGGUUGUAAACGACUUUUAUCAGGGACGAAUCUUGACGGUACCUGAAGAAUAAGGGGUUGCUAACUCUGU
This 467-nucleotide ribosomal RNA is filed under the name uncultured bacterium. RNAcentral's name for it is "bacterial SSU rRNA". It matches the Rfam family "Bacterial small subunit ribosomal RNA", at positions 29 to 506 of the family's 1533-position model. The record is from RNAcentral.